Molecule: ribosomal RNA, 888 nt
Filed under: Sedimentibacter sp. enrichment culture clone B412
Lineage: Bacteria; Bacillati; Bacillota; Tissierellia
Description: bacterial SSU rRNA
Rfam family: Bacterial small subunit ribosomal RNA
Source: RNAcentral
AGAGUUUGAUCCUGGCUCAGGACGAACGCUGGCGGCGUGCCUAACACAUGCAAGUCGAACGAAGUAUAUUUUCGGAUAUGCUUAGUGGCGGACGGGUGAGUAACGCGUGAACAAUCUGCCCUGUACACAGGAAUAGCCACGGGAAACUGGGAUUAAAACCGGAUAACACUUUUUGGCCGCAUGGCCGGGAAGUCAAAUUGAUUUAGAGGUACAGGAUGAGUUCGCGUCUGAUUAGCUAGUUGGUGAGGUAACGGCUCACCAAGGCGACGAUCAGUAGCCGGCCUGAGAGGGUGAACGGCCACACUGGAACUGAGACACGGUCCAGACUCCUACGGGAGGCAGCAGUGGGGAAUAUUGCACAAUGGAGGAAACUCUGAUGCAGCGACGCCGCGUGAGUGAAGAAGGUCUUCGGAUCGUAAAACUCUGUCCUUGGUGACGAAAAAAAUGACGGUAGCCAAGGAGGAAGCCCCGGCUAACUACGUGCCAGCAGCCGCGGUAAUACGUAGGGGGCGAGCGUUGUCCGGAUUUACUGGGCGUAAAGGGUGAGUAGGCGGUAAUAUGUGUCAGAUGUAAAAGGCUAUGGCUUAACCAUAGUUGGCAUUUGAAACUGUAUUACUUGAGUGCAGGAGAGGUAAGUGGAAUUCCUAGUGUAGCGGUGAAAUGCGUAGAUAUUAGGAGGAACACCAGUGGCGAAGGCGACUUACUGGACUGUAACUGACGCUGAGUCACGAAAGCGUGGGUAGCAAACAGGAUUAGAUACCCUGGUAGUCCACGCUGUAAACGAUGAGUGCUAGGUGUUGGGUAGCGAUAUUCAGUGCCGAAGUAAACACAAUAAGCACUCCGCCUGGGGAGUACGGUCGCAAGACUGAAACUCAAAGGAAUUGACGG